AGAGUUUGAUCCUGGCUCAGAUUGAACGCUGGCGGCAUGCCUAACACAUGCAAGUCGAACGGAAACGACGAAAACAAUCCCUUCGGGGUGCGUCUUCGGGCGUCGAGUGGCGGACGGGUGCGUAACGCGUAGGAAUCUACCUUAUAGUGGGGGACAACUCGAGGAAACUCGAGCUAAUACCGCAUAAUCCUUACGAGGGAAAGCAGGGGAUCUUCGGACCUUGUGCUAUUAGAUGAGCCUGCGUCGGAUUAGCUUGUUGGUAGGGUAAUGGCCUACCAAGGCAACGAUCCGUAGCUGGUCUGAGAGGACGACCAGCCACACUGGGACUGAGACACGGCCCAGACUCCUACGGGAGGCAGCAGUGGGGAAUAUUGGACAAUGGGCGCAAGCCUGAUCCAGCAAUGCCGCGUGUGUGAAGAAGGCCUUAGGGUUGUAAAGCACUUUCAGUAGGGAAGAAAUGCGUGUAGCUAAUAACUGCGCGUCUUGACGGUACCUACAGAAGAAGCACCGGCUAACUCCGUGCCAGCAGCCGCGGUAAUACGGAGGGUGCAAGCGUUAUCCGGAUUUAUUGGGUUUAAAGGGUGCGUAGGCGGGAUAAUAAGUCAGUGGUGAAAUACUGCAGCUCAACUGUAGAACUGCCAUUGAUACUGUUAUUCUUGAGUGCGAUUGAGGUAGGCGGAAUGUGUAAUGUAGCGGUGAAAUGCUUAGAUAUUACACAGAACACCGAUUGCGUAGGCAGCAUACUAAGUCGUAACUGACGCUAAGGCACGAAAGCGUGGGGAUCGAACAGGAUUAGAUACCCUGGUAGUCCACGCUGUAAACGAUGAUCACUAGCUGUUGGCGAUACACCGAUCAGCGGCAAAGCGAAAGCAUUAAGUGAUCCACCUGGGGAGUACGAUCGCAAGAUUGAAACUCAAAGGAAUUGACGGGGGCCCGCACAAGCGGAGGAACAUGUGGUUUAAUUCGAUGAUACGCGAGGAACCUUACCUGGGCUUAAAUGCAGGACGACGUACUGGGAAACUAGUACUCCCUUCGGGGCGGACUGCAAGGUGCUGCAUGGUUGUCGUCAGCUCGUGCCGUGAGGUGUCGGGUUAAGUCCCAUAACGAGCGCAACCCCUAUCGUUAGUUGCCAGCGGAUCAUGCCGGGGACUCUAACGAAACUGCCGGUGUAAACCGAGAGGAAGGUGGGGAUGACGUCAAAUCAGCACGGCCCUUAUGUCCAGGGCUGCACACGUGUUACAAUGGUCGGUACAGAGGGCAGCUACCUGGUAACAGGAUGCUAAUCUCGAAAGCCGGUCUUAGUUCGGAUCGAAGUCUGCAACUCGACUUCGUGAAGCUGGAUUCGCUAGUAAUCGCGCAUCAGCCAUGGCGCGGUGAAUACGUUCCCGGGCCUUGUACACACCGCCCGUCAAGCCAUGGAAGCUGGGGGUACCUGAAGUCUGUAACCGCAAGGAGCGGCCUAGGGUAAAACUAGUGACUGGGGCUAAGUCGUAACAAGGUA
This 1501-nucleotide ribosomal RNA is filed under the name metagenome. RNAcentral's name for it is "bacterial SSU rRNA". It matches the Rfam family "Bacterial small subunit ribosomal RNA". The record is from RNAcentral.